UGCCAGGACAUGGGUGACCAUGAGAGGA
Molecule: non-coding RNA, 28 nt
Filed under: Homo sapiens (human)
Lineage: Eukaryota; Metazoa; Chordata; Mammalia; Primates; Hominidae
Source: RNAcentral